Molecule: ribosomal RNA, 471 nt
Filed under: uncultured bacterium
Lineage: Bacteria
Description: bacterial SSU rRNA
Rfam family: Bacterial small subunit ribosomal RNA
Source: RNAcentral
CUACGCACUCCUACGGGGGCAGCAGUGGGGAAUAUUGCACAAUGGGCGCAAGCCUGAUGCAGCCAUGCCGCGUGUAUGAAGAAGGCCUUCGGGUUGUAAAGUACUUUCAGCAGUGAGGAAGGUGGGUAUGUUAAUAGCAUAUUCAUUUGACGUUAGCUGCAGAAGAAGCACCGGCUAACUCCGUGCCAGCAGCCGCGGUAAUACGGAGGGUGCGAGCGUUAAUCGGAAUUACUGGGCGUAAAGCGCAUGCAGGUGGUUUGUUAAGUCAGAUGUGAAAGCCCGGGGCUCAACCUCGGAAUUGCAUUUGAAACUGGCAAACUAGAGUACUGUAGAGGGGGUAGAAUUUCAGGUGUAGCGGUGAAAUGCGUAGAGAUCUGAAGGAAUACCGGUGGCGAAGGCGGCCCCCCUGGACAGAUACUGACACUCAGAUGCGAAAGCGUGGGGAGCAAACAGGAUUAGAUACCCUGGGAG